Molecule: small nuclear RNA, 61 nt
Organism: Gorilla gorilla gorilla (western lowland gorilla)
Lineage: Eukaryota; Metazoa; Chordata; Mammalia; Primates; Hominidae
Gene: U7
Rfam family: U7 small nuclear RNA
About the family: Animal histone pre-mRNAs are spliced by a different mechanism than nuclear pre-mRNAs and self-splicing introns. This processing involves the U7 snRNP, which contains only one RNA species: U7.
Source: Ensembl
AAGUAUUACAGCUCUUUUAGAAUUUGUCUAGCUGGUUCCUAGUUUCACUGGAAGCACCCUC